This 351-nucleotide unclassified non-coding RNA is filed under the name soil metagenome. Its description in RNAcentral is "partial contains 5.8S ribosomal RNA, internal transcribed spacer 2, and large subunit ribosomal RNA". The stretch from base 1 to 121 matches the Rfam family "5.8S ribosomal RNA", at positions 35 to 154 of the family's 154-position model. The record is from RNAcentral.
GAUGAAGAACGUAGCGAAAUGCGAUAAGUAAUGCGAAUUGCAGAAUUUCCGUGAAUCAUCGAAUCUUUGAACGCACAUUGCGCCCUCUGGUAUUCCGGGGGGCAUGCCUGUUCGAGCGUCAUUGCAACCCCUCAAGCACAGCUUGUGUGUUGGGCUCUCGUCCCCCGUGGACGGGCCUGAAAUGCAGUGGCAGCACCGAGAUACCGGUGUCUGAGUGUAUGGGCAUUGAUCAUCACUCGAUAGACCCGAUCGGCGCUGACCGUCAAACCACGAUUCCUCGGAAUCAUCCAGUUUUGACCUCGGAUCAGGUAGGAAUACCCGCUGAACUUAAGCAUAUCAAUAAGCGGAGGA